GACGAACGCUGGCGGCGUGCCUAACACAUGCAAGUCGAGCGGGGAUUGUGGAGAGCUUGCUCAAAGCAAUUCCAGCGGCGGACGGGUGAGUAACGCGUGAGCAACCUGCCUCAAACAGGGGGAUAACGCAUCGAAAGAUGUGCUAAUACCGCGUAAGACCACAGCAUCACAUGGUGCAGGGGUCAAGGGAGCAAUCCGGUUUGAGAUGGGCUCGCGUCCGAUUAGCUAGUUGGUGAGACAACAGCCCACCAAGGCGACGAUCGGUAGCCGACCUGGAGGGGUGAUCGGGCCACAUUGGAACUGAGAUACGGUCCAGACUCC
RNAcentral lists this ribosomal RNA (321 nucleotides) under uncultured bacterium. RNAcentral's name for it is "bacterial SSU rRNA". It matches the Rfam family "Bacterial small subunit ribosomal RNA", at positions 28 to 339 of the family's 1533-position model. The record is from RNAcentral.